UACGUAGGGUGCGAGCGUUGUCCGGAAUUAUUGGGCGUAAAGAGCUCGUAGGCGGUCUGUCGCGUCCGUUGUGAAAACUCGAGGCUCAACCUCGGGCUUGCAGUGGAUACGGGCAGACUAGAGUGAUGUAGGGGAGACUGGAAUUCCUGGUGUAGCGGUGAAAUGCGCAGAUAUCAGGAGGAACACCGGUGGCGAAGGCGGGUCUCUGGGCCGAUACUGACGCUGAGGAGCGAAAGCGUGGGGAGCGAACCGG
This 253-nucleotide ribosomal RNA is filed under the name uncultured bacterium. Its description in RNAcentral is "partial 16S ribosomal RNA". It matches the Rfam family "Bacterial small subunit ribosomal RNA", at positions 524 to 776 of the family's 1533-position model. The record is from RNAcentral.